RNAcentral lists this ribosomal RNA (466 nucleotides) under uncultured bacterium. RNAcentral describes it as "partial 16S ribosomal RNA". It matches the Rfam family "Bacterial small subunit ribosomal RNA", at positions 28 to 507 of the family's 1533-position model. The record is from RNAcentral.
GAUGAACGCUGGCGGCGUGCUUAACACAUGCAAGUCGAACGAUGAAGCCCAGCUUUUUGGGCGCUUUAGUUGCGAACGGGUGAGUAACACGUGAGUAACCUGCCCUUAACUCUGGGAUAGGCCUGUUAAACUGGGUCUAAUACCUGAUAGGAGCUCCUACCGCACGGUGGGUGUUGGAAUGAUUUAUCGGUUUUGGAUCGACUCGCGGCCUAUCAGCUACUCGGUGAGGUAAUGGUUCACCAAGGCAUCGACGGGUAGCCGGCACGAGAGCGUGAACAGCCUCCAGAGGACUGCGAGAGGCACCAGAAUCGUACCGGAGGCAGCAGUCGGGAGUAUUACAGAGUGGGGGAGAGCGAGUUGCAAAGAUGCCGCGUGCGGGAUGAUGUGCUUCGGGUUGUAAACAUCUUUCAGUGGAGAUGAAGCGAUAGUGACGGUACCUACAGAAGAAGCACCGGCUAACUACGUG